This 549-nucleotide ribosomal RNA is filed under the name uncultured bacterium. Its description in RNAcentral is "bacterial SSU rRNA". It matches the Rfam family "Bacterial small subunit ribosomal RNA", at positions 362 to 917 of the family's 1533-position model. The record is from RNAcentral.
UCUUGCGCAUGGGCGAAAGCCUGNGCAGCGACGCCGCGUGGGGGAUGAAGCUUCUCGGAGUGUAAACCCCUUUCGACCCGGACGAAACGCCCGCAAGGGCUUGACGGUACGGGUAUAAGAAGCCCCGGCUAACUACGUGCCAGCAGCCGCGGUAAGACGUAGGGGGCCAGCGUUGCUCGGAAUUACNUGGGCGUAAAGGGUUCGUAGGCGGUGCGGCAAGUCGGGAGUGAAAUCUCUGGGCUUAACCCAGAGGCUGCUUCCGAAACUGCCGUGCUAGAGUGCGGGAGAGGCGAGUGGAAUUGCAGGUGUAGCGGUGAAAUGCGUAGAUAUCUGCAGGAACACCCGUGGCGAAGGCGGCUCGCUGGACCGCAACUGACGCUGAGGAACGAAAGCUAGGGGAGCAAACAGGAUUAGAUACCCUGGUAGUCCUAGCCCUAAACCAUCAGGACUUGGGGUGCAUCCCGUUCGGGGUGCGUCCCGUAGCUAACGCGUUAAGUCCUGCGCCUGGGGAGUACGGUCGCAAGGCUGAAACUCAAAGAAAUUGACGGA